Molecule: ribosomal RNA, 3067 nt
Filed under: Candidatus Fervidibacteria bacterium SCGC AAA471-D06
Lineage: Bacteria; Candidatus Fervidibacterota
Description: bacterial LSU rRNA
Rfam family: Bacterial large subunit ribosomal RNA
Source: RNAcentral
UCAAGCUAGAAAGGGCACGCGGUGGAUGCCUCGGCACCAGGGGCCGAAGAAGGGCGUGGCAAGCUGCGAAAAGCCCCGGGGAGCCGCAAGCAGGCUGUGAUCCGGGGAUGCCCGAAUGGGGAAACCUGACGGGGAAAACCCCCGUCACCAGCAGGUGAAUCCAUAGCCUGCUGGGGGGCAGCCCGCGAACUGAAACAUCUUAGUAGCGGGACGAAAAGAAAGCAACCGCGAUGCCCCGAGUAGUGGCGAGCGAAAGGGGCAAAGCCCAAACCGUCACCGUGUAAAAGCCCGCAGGCGUUGCGGUGGCGGUGUAGCGGGACAGCACCAGAGGGGGCUGCGGACCCCUCAGGGAGUUACAAAACCCCGACCUAGCCGAAGUGGCCUGGAACGGCCCGCCGUAGAGGGUGAGAGCCCCGUAGGCGAAAGGUCAGGGGUCUCCCGGGGUGCUGCUCCCAAGUAGCUCGGGCCCCGUGAAAGCCUGAGCGAAUCUGGGGGGACCACCCUCUAAGGCUAAAUACCCCUGGUGACCGAUAGCGCACCAGUACCGUGAGGGAAAGGUGAAAAGAACGGUGGGAAGCCGAGUGAAAUAGAGCCUGAAACCGCGUGCCUACAAGCAGUCGGAGGGCUAUGCCCCGUGACAAUCACGGGGAAUGCCUGACGGCGUGCCUCUUGAAGAAUGAGCCGGGGAGUUGCCGUCGGUGGCGAGGCUAAGCGCCAUCAGGCGCGGAGCCGUAGGGAAACCGAGUCUGAAUAGGGCGUUAGUCGCCGGCGGCAGACCCGAAACCGAGCGAGCUACCCCUGCCCAGGGUGAAGUGCCCUUAACCGGGCACGGAGGCCCGAACCCGUCGGUGUUGCAAAACCGUGGGAUGAGGUGGGGGUAGCGGUGAAACGCCAAUCGAGCUCGGAGAUAGCUGGUUCUCCCCGAAACACGUGUAGGCGUGACGUCGGGCCAUUAAGCGGCGGAGGUAGAGCCACGGAUGGGGGUAGGGGGUUAACAGCCUACCAAACCCCGUCCAACUCCGAAUGCCGCCGCUGGUCCCUUUAUGGGGCUAAGGCCCGGCAGUCGGACUCCGGGGGAUAAGCUCCGGAGUCGCGAGGGAAACAGCCCAGACCGCCAGCUAAGGCCCCCAAGUCCCGGCUUAGUGGGGAACGCGGUGGGGCUCCUAAGACAGCCGGGAGGUUGGCUUAGAAGCAGCCAUCCUUUAAACAGUGCGUAACAGCUGACCGGCCGAGGAGCCCUGCGCGGAAGAUUCAACGGGGCUAAGCCGGGCGCCGAAGCUGCGGGCUUGGCGGAACUGCCUAUAAGGCAUUCCGUCAGGCGGUAGGGGAGCGUUCCGCCUGCUGUGAAGCCCGACCGAAAGGACGGGUGGAGCGGGCGGAAGUGAGAAUCCCGGCACGAGUAGCGAUAAGGCCGGUGAGAAUCCGGCCCGCCGGAAGCCCAAGGUUUCCGACGCAACGCUCGUCGGCGUCGGGUUAGGCGGUCCUAAGCCGAGGCCGUUCGGCGUAGGCGAUGGGCAGCCGGUUGACAUUCCGGCCCCACCGACCUCCGCCAUCAGGGAUGGGGGACGCUCCCAAGGGAGCCUACGCGGCGAUGGUCGUCCGCGGCGACCGUGGAGUGAGCCNUCCNANNGGAUGGNUCGCUUGGCGGGAGNGAGCCGCCUUUGUGCGGCGAAGUGGCGCCCCAAGGGAGCCAAGAAAAGCCCUUACCGAGUCCAUCCCCAAAAGGGAUGGCGCGGAGCGUCGGUGACCGUACCGGAAACCGCCACAGGUGGGCGAGGAGAGUAUCCACAGGCGCGCGGGAUAACCCCNGCCAAGGAACUCUGCAAAAUGUCCCCGUAACUUCGGGAGAAGGGGAGCCGUAGUAGGGUGAAAGGGCCUUCGCGCCCAAGUAGCCCGAGGCGGUCGCAGAUAAGCGGCCGGGGCGACUGUUUAACAAAAACACAGGUUCCUGCCAACCCGAAAGGGGAGGUAUAGGGGCCGACGCCUGGCCAGUGCCCGAAGGUUAAGGGGACGGGUUCGCCGGGNUCUCGCCCGGCAAAGCUCGCGCCCCGAAGCCCGGGUAAACGCCGGCCGUAACCCUGACGGUCCUAAGGUAGCGAAAUUCCUUGUCGGGUAAGUUCCGACCCGCACGAAAGGCGUAACGACUUCGGCGCUGUCUCGGCGGGGGGGCCCGGUGAAACUGUGGUGUCCGUGAAGACGCGGACUACCCGCGGCGGGACGGAAAGACCCCGUGGAGCUUUACUGCAGCCUGGCCUUGGGCUUUGGGGCGGGAUGCAGAGAAUAGGUGGGAGCCUGUGAAGCUCGCCCUCCGGGGCGGGUGGAGGCGCCAGUGGAAUACCACCCUUCCCGCUCUUGGGUCCUAACUUGGUCCCGUGAAUCCGGGCCAAGGACAGGGUCAGGUGGGCAGUUUGGCUGGGGCGGCGGCCUCCUAAAAGGUAACGGAGGCGUCCAAAGGUCCCCUCAGGCGGGAUGGAAAUCCGCCGUGGAGUGCAAAGGCAUAAGGGGGCCUGACUGUGAGGCUCACAAGCCGAGCAGCCGCGAAAGCGGGGCUUAGUGACCCGGCGGUUUGGGAGUGGGACCGCCGCCGAUCAACGGAUAAAAGCUACCCCGGGGAUAACAGGCUAAUGGCGCCCGAGCGUCCCCAGCGACGGCGCCGUUUGGCACCUCGAUGUCGGCUCAUCGCAUCCUGGGGCUGAAGCCGGUCCCAAGGGUUGGGCUGUUCGCCCAUUAAAGCGGUACGUGAGCUGGGUUCAGACCGUCGUGAGACAGGUCGGUCCCUAUCCGCCGCGGGCGCAGGAGGCUUGAGGGGGGCUCGCCCUAGUACGAGAGGACCGGGCGGGACCAGCCUCUGGUGUCCCGGCUGUCGCGCCAGCGGCACGCGCCGGGUAGCCAUGCUGGGUCGGGAUAACCGCUGAAAGCAUCUAAGCGGGAAGCCCACCCCAAGAUAAGGCCUCCCACGGGGGCAACCCGGUAAGGGCCCGGGAAGACUACCCGGUUGAUGGGCCGGAGGUGGAAGCCCAGCAAUGGGUGGAGCUGACCGGUCCCAAUAGCCCGAGGGCUUGACUGU